GGGUUGUGAGGUUAAGCGACUAAGCGUACACGGUGGAUGCCCUGGCAGUCAGAGGCGAUGAAGGGCGUGCUAAUCUGCGAUAAGCGCCGGUAAGGUGAUAUGAACCGUUAUAACCGGCGAUACCCGAAUGGGGAAACCCAGUGUGACUCGUCACACUAUCAUUAACUGAAUCCAUAGGUUAAUGAGGCGAACCGGGGGAACUGAAACAUCUAAGUACCCCGAGGAAAAGAAAUCAACCGAGAUUCCCCCAGUAGCGGCGAGCGAACGGGGAGGAGCCCAGAGCCUGAAUCAGCAUGUGUGUUAGUGGAAGCGUCUGGAAAGGCGCGCGAUACAGGGUGACAGCCCCGUACACAAAAGCGCAUGUGCUGUGAGCUCGAUGAGUAGGGCGGGACACGUGGUAUCCUGUCUGAAUAUGGGGGGACCAUCCUCCAAGGCUAAAUACUCCUGACUGACCGAUAGUGAACCAGUACCGUGAGGGAAAGGCGAAAAGAACCCCGGCGAGGGGAGUGAAAAAGAACCUGAAACCGUGUACGUACAAGCAGUGGGAGCACAGGUUUACCUGUGUGACUGCGUACCUUUUGUAUAAUGGGUCAGCGACUUAUAUUCUGUAGCAAGGUUAACCGAAUAGGGGAGCCGGAGGGAAACCGAGUCUUAAUUGGGCGUUAAGUUGCAGGGUAUAGACCCGAAACCCGGUGAUCUAGCCAUGGGCAGGUUGAAGGUUGGGUAACACUAACUGGAGGACCGAACCGACUAAUGUUGAAAAAUUAGCGGAUGACCUGUGGCUGGGGGUGAAAGGCCAAUCAAACCGGGAGAUAGCUGGUUCUCCCGAAAGCUAUUUAGGUAGCGCCUCGUGAAUUCAUCUCCGGGGGUAGAGCACUGUUUCGGCUAGGGGGCCAUCCCGGCUUACCAACCCGAUGCAAACUGCGAAUACCGGAGAAUGUUAUCACGGGAGACACACGGCGGGUGCUAACGUCCGUCGUGAAGAGGGAAACAACCCAGACCGCCAGCUAAGGUCCCAAAGUCAUGGUUAAGUGGGAAACGAUGUGGGAAGGCCCAGACAGCCAGGAUGUUGGCUUAGAAGCAGCCAUCAUUUAAAGAAAGCGUAAUAGCUCACUGGUCGAGUCGGCCUGCGCGGAAGAUGUAACGGGGCUAAACCAUGCACCGAAGCUGCGGCAGCGACGCUUAUGCGUUGUUGGGUAGGGGAGCGUUCUGUAAGCCUGUGAAGGUGUGUCGUGAGGCAUGCUGGAGGUAUCAGAAGUGCGAAUGCUGACAUAAGUAACGAUAAAGCGGGUGAAAAGCCCGCUCGCCGGAAGACCAAGGGUUCCUGUCCAACGUUAAUCGGGGCAGGGUGAGUCGACCCCUAAGGCGAGGCCGAAAGGCGUAGUCGAUGGGAAACGGGUUAAUAUUCCCGUACUUGGUGUUACUGCGAAGGGGGGACGGAGAAGGCUAUGUUGGCCGGGCGACGGUUGUCCCGGUUUAAGCGUGUAGGUGUGUGUUCCAGGUAAAUCCGGUUCACUUUAACACUGAGGCGUGAUGACGAGGCACUACGGUGCUGAAGCAACAAAUGCCCUGCUUCCAGGAAAAGCCUCUAAGCAUCAGGUAACAUCAAAUCGUACCCCAAACCGACACAGGUGGUCAGGUAGAGAAUACCAAGGCGCUUGAGAGAACUCGGGUGAAGGAACUAGGCAAAAUGGUGCCGUAACUUCGGGAGAAGGCACGCUGACAUGUAGGUGAAGUGAUUUACUCAUGGAGCUGAAGUCAGUCGAAGAUACCAGCUGGCUGCAACUGUUUAUUAAAAACACAGCACUGUGCAAACACGAAAGUGGACGUAUACGGUGUGACGCCUGCCCGGUGCCGGAAGGUUAAUUGAUGGGGUCAGCGCAAGCGAAGCUCCUGAUCGAAGCCCCGGUAAACGGCGGCCGUAACUAUAACGGUCCUAAGGUAGCGAAAUUCCUUGUCGGGUAAGUUCCGACCUGCACGAAUGGCGUAAUGAUGGCCAGGCUGUCUCCACCCGAGACUCAGUGAAAUUGAACUCGCUGUGAAGAUGCAGUGUACCCGCGGCAAGACGGAAAGACCCCGUGAACCUUUACUAUAGCUUGACACUGAACAUUGAGCCUUGAUGUGUAGGAUAGGUGGGAGGCUUUGAAGUGUGGACGCCAGUCUGCAUGGAGCCGACCUUGAAAUACCACCCUUUAAUGUUUGAUGUUCUAACGUGGACCCGUUAUCCGGGUUGCGGACAGUGUCUGGUGGGUAGUUUGACUGGGGCGGUCUCCUCCUAAAGAGUAACGGAGGAGCACGAAGGUUGGCUAAUCCUGGUCGGACAUCAGGAGGUUAGUGCAAUGGCAUAAGCCAGCUUGACUGCGAGCGUGACGGCGCGAGCAGGUGCGAAAGCAGGUCAUAGUGAUCCGGUGGUUCUGAAUGGAAGGGCCAUCGCUCAACGGAUAAAAGGUACUCCGGGGAUAACAGGCUGAUACCGCCCAAGAGUUCAUAUCGACGGCGGUGUUUGGCACCUCGAUGUCGGCUCAUCACAUCCUGGGGCUGAAGUAGGUCCCAAGGGUAUGGCUGUUCGCCAUUUAAAGUGGUACGCGAGCUGGGUUUAGAACGUCGUGAGACAGUUCGGUCCCUAUCUGCCGUGGGCGCUGGAGAACUGAGGGGGGCUGCUCCUAGUACGAGAGGACCGGAGUGGACGCAUCACUGGUGUUCGGGUUGUCAUGCCAAUGGCACUGCCCGGUAGCUAAAUGCGGAAGAGAUAAGUGCUGAAAGCAUCUAAGCACGAAACUUGCCCCGAGAUGAGUUCUCCCUGAGACUUAGAGUCUCCUGAAGGAACGUUGAAGACGACGACGUUGAUAGGCCGGGUGUGUAAGCGCAGCGAUGCGUUGAGCUAACCGGUACUAAUGAACCGUGAGGCUUAACCUUACAACGCCGAAG
RNAcentral lists this ribosomal RNA (2928 nucleotides) under Salmonella enterica subsp. enterica serovar Tennessee. Its description in RNAcentral is "bacterial LSU rRNA". It matches the Rfam family "Bacterial large subunit ribosomal RNA". Lineage: Bacteria; Pseudomonadati; Pseudomonadota; Gammaproteobacteria; Enterobacterales; Enterobacteriaceae. The record is from RNAcentral.